Molecule: ribosomal RNA, 301 nt
Filed under: uncultured bacterium
Lineage: Bacteria
Description: partial 16S ribosomal RNA
Rfam family: Bacterial small subunit ribosomal RNA
Source: RNAcentral
CAGCCGCCACGGGAAUACGAAGGGGGCUAGCGUUGCUCGGAAUUACUGGGCGUAAAGGGAGCGUAGGCGGACAUUUAAGUCAGGGGUGAAAUCCCGGGGCUCAACCUCGGAAUUGCCUUUGAUACUGGGUGUCUUGAGUAUGAGAGAGGUAUGUGGAACUCCGAGUGUAGAGGUGAAAUUCGUAGAUAUUCGGAAGAACACCAGUGGCGAAGGCGACAUACUGGCUCAUUACUGACGCUGAGGCUCGAAAGCGUGGGGAGCAAACAGGAUUAGAUACCCCAGUAGUCCCUGUCUCUUAUAC